CCUACGGGAGACAGCAGUGGGGAAUAUUGGGCAAUGGGCGCAAGCCUGACCCAGCAACGCCGCGUGAAGGAAGAAGGCUUUCGGGUUGUAAACUUCUUUUAAGAGGGAAGAGCAGAAGACGGUACCUCUUGAAUAAGCCACGGCUAACUACGUGCCAGCAGCCGCGGUAAUACGUAGGUGGCAAGCGUUGUCCGGAUUUACUGGGGGUAAAGGGCGUGCAGCCGGGAAGACAAGUCAGAUGUGAAAUCCCGCGGCUCAACCGCGGAACUGCAUUUGAAACUGUUUUUCUUGAGUACCGGAGAGGUCAUCGGAAUUCCUUGUGUAGCGGUGAAAUGCGUAGAUAUAAGGAAGAACACCAGUGGCGAAGGCGGAUGACUGGACGGCAACUGACGGUGAGGCGCGAAAGCGUGGGGAGCAAACAGGAUUAGAUACCCGGGUAGUC
This 442-nucleotide ribosomal RNA is filed under the name uncultured bacterium. Its description in RNAcentral is "partial 16S ribosomal RNA". It matches the Rfam family "Bacterial small subunit ribosomal RNA", at positions 338 to 795 of the family's 1533-position model. The record is from RNAcentral.